Molecule: ribosomal RNA, 334 nt
Filed under: uncultured Bacillota bacterium
Lineage: Bacteria; Bacillati; Bacillota
Description: bacterial SSU rRNA
Rfam family: Bacterial small subunit ribosomal RNA
Source: RNAcentral
GAUGAACGCUGGCGGCGUGCCUAACACAUGCAAGUCGAGCGGAGAUUUCUGAAGUAGUAAUACGGAAGGGAUCUUAGCGGCGGACGGGUGAGUAACACGUGAGUAAUCUGCCUUCUGCAGGGGAAUAACAUUGUGAAAACAGUGCUAAUACCGCAUAACGUCCGACUGGGACAUCCCGGACGGACCAAAGGAGAAAUCCGGCAGAAGAUGAGCUCGCGUCCGAUUAGCUAGUUGGCGGGGUAACGGCCCACCAAGGCUUCGAUCGGUAGCCGAACUGAGAGGUUGAUCGGCCACAUUGGGACUGAGACACGGCCCAGACUCCUACGGGAGGCUG